AGACGUCUGCUGUCUGUCCCUUAAACCUGUCGAGAGGUCUCUUGAGCCCAGUGUUGUCUUCUCCUCUGCGUUGACUCUCUCUCAGUUUAUUUAAAAUCUUCAUUUUUUUGCUUAAACUUUCAUAUUUUCUUAUUUUGUAGUAGUUUUUUUAUGUUUUAUAAAUAAAUAACAAACAGUGUUUCAAAAAAGAAGAAGAUAAUAUCGCUUGUGGGGGAGUGAAUCGAUGUAAUACAAAUAAAAGUUGAGAUUGUCGUCGCUGAUGAGAUUAUAAUAAAAGUUUGGCUUUUAUUUUAUUUUAAGGGUUUGUUUUUUUUUUAAGUUGUAAAUAUGUAAAUGUUUAUGUUAAGGCAACAUUUGAACAAAGUAGUACUAGAAGGUCUUAAUUUUGGGAUGCUUGCUUGCUUCAUGAAAGGAGUACAUUUUAGCAAAUGGGAACAAGAACUUAGACAAUAAUGGAAAAAAAUGAAAUUCUAUUAUAAUGUAAUGGCUGUCAUUUUCUCAGCCUUUAAAUGUGGCUUUUUGUUGAUAACAACAUGGCAUAUUUGAGUCUUUUGGAGAAAAGUCUAAUCUAUUGGAUAUAUACAUCAACCAUAUAAUAACAAUAUAGUUAAAG
RNAcentral lists this long non-coding RNA (613 nucleotides) under Brassica rapa (field mustard). RNAcentral's name for it is "long non-coding RNA (BRAP_LNC002363)". Lineage: Eukaryota; Viridiplantae; Streptophyta; Magnoliopsida; Brassicales; Brassicaceae. The record is from RNAcentral.